AUUAAACGCUGGCGGCAUGCCUUACACAUGCAAGUCGAACGGUAGCGCGGGGCAACCUGGCGACGAGUGGCGAACGGGUGAGUAAAGCAUCGGAACGUGCCCUGGAAUGGGGGAUAACGUAGCGAAAGUUACGCUAAUACCGCAUAUUCUGUGAGCAGGAAAGCAGGGGAUCGCAAGACCUUGCGUUCUGGGAGCGGCCGAUGUCGGAUUAGCUAGUUGGUGGGGUAAAAGCCUACCAAGGCGACGAUCCGUAGCGGGUCUGAGAGGAUGAUCCGCCACACUGGGACUGAGACACGGCCCAGACUCCUACGGGAGGCAGCAGUGGGGGAAUUUUGGACAAUGGGCGGAAGCCUGAUCCAGCCAUGCCGCGUGAGUGAAGAAGGCCUUGGUGUAAGCUCUUCGUGGGAGAAUG
RNAcentral lists this ribosomal RNA (412 nucleotides) under uncultured bacterium. RNAcentral's name for it is "bacterial SSU rRNA". It matches the Rfam family "Bacterial small subunit ribosomal RNA", at positions 29 to 447 of the family's 1533-position model. The record is from RNAcentral.